RNAcentral lists this ribosomal RNA (479 nucleotides) under uncultured bacterium. RNAcentral describes it as "partial 16S ribosomal RNA". It matches the Rfam family "Bacterial small subunit ribosomal RNA", at positions 28 to 523 of the family's 1533-position model. The record is from RNAcentral.
GACGAACGCUGGCGGCGUGCUUAACACAUGCAAGUCGAACGGUAAGGCCCUUCGGGGUACACGAGUGGCGAACGGGUGAGUAACACGUGGGUGAUCUGCCCUGCACUUCGGGAUAAGCCUGGGCAACUGGGUCUAAUACCGGAUAGGACCCUGGGAUGCAUGUCCUGGGGUGGAAAGCUUUUGCGGUGUGGGAUGGGCCCGCGGCCUUUCAGUUUGUUGGGGGGGUGAUGGCCUACAAAGGCGACGACGGGUGGCCGGCCGCUGAGAGGGUGACCGGACACACUGGGACUGAGAUACGGCCCAGACUCCUACGGGAGGCAGCAGUGGGGAAUAUUGCACAAUGGGCGCAAGCCUGAUGCAGCGACGCCGCGUGAGGGAUGACGGCCUUCGGGUUGUAAACCUCUUUCAGCACCGACGAAGCGCAAGUGACGGUAGGUGCAGAAGAAGGCCGGCCAACUACGUGCCAGCCGCCGCGGUAA